GGACUACUGGGGUAUCUAAUCCUGUUCGUUACCCAAGCCUUCGUCCCUCAACGUCAGUUUUUAUAUAAAGUUCUGCUUUCGCCGUUAACCGUCUUAAAGGUAUCAAAGAAUUUCAUCUCUACACCAAUAAUUCCAAAUUACUCUCAUAUAAAACUCUAGUAUAUCCGUCCCUUUUUCAGGCUAGAUAAACUGUCUAGGUACCCUUUAAACCUAAUAAAGAUGAAUAACACUAGUCUCCGUUGUCUUACCGCGGCUGCUGGCAC
Molecule: ribosomal RNA, 263 nt
Filed under: uncultured bacterium
Lineage: Bacteria
Description: partial 16S ribosomal RNA
Source: RNAcentral